This 563-nucleotide long non-coding RNA is filed under the name Homo sapiens (human). RNAcentral describes it as "long non-coding RNA NONHSAT054982.2". The record is from RNAcentral. Lineage: Eukaryota; Metazoa; Chordata; Mammalia; Primates; Hominidae.
GACGUCACGCCGCACGCCCCAGCGAGGGCGUGCGGAGUUUGGCUGCUCCGGGGUUAGCAGGUGAGCCUGCGAUGCGCGGGAAGACGUUCCGCUUUGAAAUGCAGCGGGAUUUGAAGUUGGGAUAUCUAAAGCAGAAGCCUUAGAAACUCUGCAAAUUAUCAGAAGAGAAUGUCUCACAAAUAAACCAAGAUAUGCUGGUACAUCUGAGUCACACAAGAAGUGUACAGCACUGGAACUUCUUGAGCAGGAGCAUACCCAGGGCUUCAUAAUCACCUUCUGUUCAGCACUAGAUGAUAUUCUUGGGGGUGGAGUGCCCUUAAUGAAAACAACAGAAAUUUGUGGUGCACCAGGUGUUGGAAAAACACAAUUAUGGUAAAAUAAAGUGUUCUCCUUUUAAGGGUGGGUUUAAUAACAUAUUAUGAAAGUAGUAUUUUGUACUAUCGUCAGGAAACCAAAUAAGAUAUAUAUGUGCUCUUAAUUUUAAGUGUGUAUGUGCAUUAAACAAAAAUUAGCUUACUAUUUGUGUUACUUCAUUAUCCCUUCUUGAUAAAUGUAUGCAAUUA